AAUGUGGUGCUAGGCAAGCACUGUACUGAGGUAUAGCUGUAGCCCUGAUUCUCUUAUAUAGGAUAUAUACAUAAAAGAAUAUAUAAAUGUUUUUAAAAGGUUUUUUAAGCUGGAUUAGUCGCACACACCUGUCACUCCAGCAUUCAGAGGCAGAGGCAGAGGCAGGUAGAUAGAUCUCUGAAUUUGAGACCAUCUUGGUCUUCAUAGUGCUAGACUAGCCAGGAGUGAGAUCUAACUACCCCUCAAACAGUUCUCUAUAAAAGUUUGACAGCUAUACUUAAAAGUUUAAGAGGAGAAACCUUAAAGCUGUGUUGCCACUGAGACAGUGAUAGAUUCAGAAGAAAACAUGUCUGCUUAACUUACGCUGCCCAAGAUGCCAAUUAAUUCAUUUGUGUAUAGGUACAGGUUAUGCACAAAUGUACAUAUAUGUGUAUAUACCUUAAGUUAUUUUUUGAACUACUAACAUGAUUUUAAGCUUACAGAGGAGUUGUAAAAAUAGCAUUCCUGCGUAUCCUUCGUUCACCUUCCCUUUGUUUGACAUCAUCUCUGAUGAAAACAUUUGUCAAAAUUAAGAGUUAAUAGUGCUAUAAUAGUAGCCGAAGUGGCCAGCUAGCAGUAGAUGCUUUAUCUUUUCAGUAGCAUCCUUUUAACCGUUCAGAGCCUAUUUUGCAUUUGGUUGUCUGUCUCAGUAGCCUCUCGCUCUGUGCCAUUAUACCAUGAGGAUAGCGGGUGUUGUCAUGUGUUUCUGGAGUGGUUCACAUCGAGCACUCUUCUAAAGUGGUGUCUGCUAGGAUCCUCUGCUGUAAGCUUUUCCCCUGCUUCCCUUUGUAAUUACUAAGUAUUUGCUAGAGACACUUUGAGACUAUGCAAACAUCCUGUUUCUGCUUAGUUUGCCUUUGACUAUCUCCUGGCCGAUCUUGCUUGUGGCAUUUACUACUGUGGUGUUUAAAUGGUGAUUUUCUAUUCUCAUUUCUUCUAUAUUUAAUAAUUGAAAUUCUUGAAGGGACUGUGGUUUAUGGAUUUAUAUUUUUAAUUAUAACAAGAUAUUCAGGAUAGGUAUAAACUCAGAACUUAAAGAUAUAAAUUAUGUUAAUUGAUUCCAGUGGCCAGUAUCAAAGAAAAAAAAAGCAACAUUUGUGACCUGUCUUUGAAAAUGUAAUCAAUUUAAGGAGGAAACUAGUAUUUAUGAUUUGUAAAUUUUGUUAGACUUUUGACUUGAACUUGAUUUGAAACUGAAACAAUUUUCUUUUGAAAUUCACAUCUAGACUUUUUUAAGGUGUCUAAAUUUAUAUUACUUUGGGGG
RNAcentral lists this long non-coding RNA (1303 nucleotides) under Rattus norvegicus (Norway rat). RNAcentral describes it as "long non-coding RNA NONRATT011587". Lineage: Eukaryota; Metazoa; Chordata; Mammalia; Rodentia; Muridae. The record is from RNAcentral.